This is a long non-coding RNA of Notothenia coriiceps (black rockcod), 449 nucleotides long. RefSeq lists it as uncharacterized. NCBI's taxonomy places the organism in Eukaryota, Metazoa, Chordata, Actinopteri, Perciformes, Nototheniidae. The record is from RefSeq and is a predicted model, not a curated record. The transcript has 4 exons.
AAACACUUUGACUUUUCUCCGUAAGAAGAGGGACUACUCGGCACACUUUGGUGUGUUUUUGUGACAAUAUUUCAGCAGGUUUUGGUGCAACUGCUACCUGUUUUUAAACUGUUUUGCUCGGGAUCCCGCGCAUCUUCUACCCCGUGAUAUCAAUUUCCUCUACCUAUCCACCGCACCCAAGCCAGGGGUAACUGUCGGGCAGACAUGCUGUAGAAGUGUAUCUAUACUGAGACAUCGGAGUGGACCUGAAGUUUGCGGUGCGCAUGAGUGGGACCAUGCAAGGACAACACGAGAGAGGACUGAAGAACCUGAGGCUGCUGCUUCUGUGUCUUUUCAUUGCCACCCUCGCCUCUGGAGUGCACGCGGGUGGGAAGAAGCACAGUGGCCCCUGUGGAGGAAGAGACUGCAGCGGAGGCUGUAAAUGUUUCCCAGAGAAAGGUGCCAGGGUA